UAGUGGCGCACGGGUGCGUAACGCGUGGGAAUCUGCCCUUGGGUUCGGAAUAACAGUUGGAAACGACUGCUAAUACCGGAUGAUGUCGUAAGUCCAAAGAUUUAUCGCCCAAGGAUGAGCCCGCGUAGGAUUAGCUAGUUGGUGAGGUAAAGGCUCACCAAGGCGACGAUCCCUAGCUGGUCUGAGAGGAUGAUCAGCCACACUGGGACUGAGACACGGCCCAGACUCCUACGGGAGGCAGCAGUAGGGAAUAUUGGACAAUGGGCGAAAGCCUGAUCCAGCAAUGCCGCGUGAGUGAUGAAGGCCUUAGGGUUGUAAAGCUCUUUUACCCGAGAUGACAAUGACAGUAACGGGAGAAUAAGCCCCGGCUAACUCCGUGCCAGCAGCCGCGGUAAU
Molecule: ribosomal RNA, 396 nt
Filed under: uncultured Sphingomonas sp.
Lineage: Bacteria; Pseudomonadati; Pseudomonadota; Alphaproteobacteria; Sphingomonadales; Sphingomonadaceae
Description: bacterial SSU rRNA
Rfam family: Bacterial small subunit ribosomal RNA
Source: RNAcentral